Lontra canadensis (Northern American river otter) is the source of this 379-nucleotide long non-coding RNA. RefSeq lists it as uncharacterized. The transcript has 3 exons. The record is from RefSeq and is a predicted model, not a curated record. Lineage: Eukaryota; Metazoa; Chordata; Mammalia; Carnivora; Mustelidae.
CCCAUGGGGGCGCCACGGGCCACGUGACCUGGCAGGCCGGGAGGGGAGGAGGGGGAAAGGGGGGGACGGGACUCGCUGCCCCUCCUGGGGAACCCCGGUGGCGCGGCCCUGCUGGUCAGGACCACCCGGGCCGGAAGCCGGGGAGCGGAAACUGGCAAAAGUGGUGCGGGCGGACAAUACGGCCUCGCUUUCUCUGGUCCCUGGGUCUGGACAACAGGUGCUCGGCCUGCUCGAGUACUCGGUACUUGGGUACUCACACCCAAAGCGAGCACGGAGUCCCCAGGAAUCACUUGCUCUAAUUUUCACCCUUGGAGUCUGACUGCACACCCAUUAGAAACGUUCCAGCGAGUGGUGCCUCCAGCCCCAAGCGCACUCACCC